Molecule: ribosomal RNA, 253 nt
Filed under: uncultured bacterium
Lineage: Bacteria
Description: partial 16S ribosomal RNA
Rfam family: Bacterial small subunit ribosomal RNA
Source: RNAcentral
UACGUAGGGGGCGAGCGUUAUCCGGAUUUACUGGGCGUAAAGCGCGUUAAGGCGGUUGGCAAAGUUGGUUGUGAAAUCUCAGGGCUCAACCCUGAAAUUGCGACCAAUACUGGUCGACUAGAGUGUGAGAGAGGAAGGUGGAAUUCCCGGUGUAGUAGUGAAAUGCGUAGAUAUCGGGAGGAACACCAGUGGCGAAGGCGGCCUUCUGGCUCAUAACUGACGCUGUAGCGCGAAAGCGUGGGGGGCGAACCGG